GAGUAAUGUCUGGGAAACUGCCCGAUGGAGGGGGAUAACUACUGGAAACGGUAGCUAAUACCGCAUAACGUCGCAAGACCAAAGAGGGGGACCUUCGGGCCUCUUGCCAUCGGAUGUGCCCAGAUGGGAUUAGCUUGUUGGUGAGGUAACGGCUCACCAAGGCGACGAUCCCUAGCUGGUCUGAGAGGAUGACCAGCCACACUGGAACUGAGACACGGUCCAGACUCCUACGGGAGGCAGCAGUGGGGAAUAUUGCACAAUGGGCGCAAGCCUGAUGCAGCCAUGCCGCGUGUAUGAAGAAGGCCUUCGGGUUGUAAAGUA
RNAcentral lists this ribosomal RNA (321 nucleotides) under Citrobacter freundii. Its description in RNAcentral is "bacterial SSU rRNA". It matches the Rfam family "Bacterial small subunit ribosomal RNA", at positions 108 to 432 of the family's 1533-position model. The record is from RNAcentral. RNAcentral also lists the same sequence under 2 other names. Lineage: Bacteria; Pseudomonadati; Pseudomonadota; Gammaproteobacteria; Enterobacterales; Enterobacteriaceae.